GCCCCUAGCAGCAUUAGGGGUGAGGCCUGCCCACUGUUGAAGGGCUGCAGUACCCUGACUGUACAAAGGUAGCAUAAUAAGUCGCCCUUUAAUUGAGGGCUGGUAUGAAAGGCUGAACGGGGUUGGAGGUCUUAUAGAUUGAACUUAACCUAAAGGUAAGAAGGCCUUUAUUCCCCCCCGGGACGAGAAGACCCUAGAAGCUUUACCAGCCUGUUGGUUGGGGCAACCAGGGAUGAGAACGAACGUCACAGUUACUCUAGGGUUAACAGCGCAAUAUCCCGCCUGAGCACGCAUUGGGCUGGGUGGUUGCGACCUCGAUGUUGAGUCGAAGGGUGUAGGAGCCCGGGUUUGUUCAACCCAUAAUCCUUCACG
RNAcentral lists this ribosomal RNA (372 nucleotides) under Selencinae gen. sp. RNAcentral describes it as "partial large subunit ribosomal RNA". It matches the Rfam family "Archaeal large subunit ribosomal RNA", at positions 1910 to 2669 of the family's 2987-position model. The record is from RNAcentral. Lineage: Eukaryota; Metazoa; Arthropoda; Arachnida; Opiliones; Assamiidae.